CGGGGCAGAUCGCUUGUAGUAGAAGCUCGGAUGGAGAUCGAUUGUCGUAGAAGUUUGGAGUAGAUCGCUUACUGUAGAAGCCCGGAGCAAACUUCUUGCAGUAGAAGCUCGGAUGAAAUCCGAAGGGCGAUCGACCGUCAUAGAAACUUGGAUGGAGUCUGGUUACUGUAGAAAGUCGACUGAUAAUAAAGCCCGAAGAGCAUUU
Molecule: long non-coding RNA, 205 nt
Filed under: Elaeis guineensis (African oil palm)
Lineage: Eukaryota; Viridiplantae; Streptophyta; Magnoliopsida; Arecales; Arecaceae
Description: long non-coding RNA (EGUI_LNC051079)
Source: RNAcentral